AUUGAACGCUGGCGGCAGGCCUAACACAUGCAAGUCGAGCGGAGCGGCGGACGGGUGAGUAAUGCCUAGGAAUCUGCCUGGUAGUGGGGGAUACCGUCCGGAAACGGGCGCUAAUACCGCAUACUAUCAGAUGAGACUAGUUCGGAUUAGCUAGUUGGUGGGGUAAAGGCCUACCAAGGCGACGGUCCGUAACUGGUCUGAGAGGAUGAUCAGUCACAAUGGAACUGUGACAGGGCCCAAACUCCUACGGGAGGCAGCCGUGGGGAAUAUUGGAGAAUGGGCGAAAGCCUGAUCCAGCAAUGCCGCGUGUGUGACGAAGGUAUUCGGAUUGUAAAGCAAUUUAAGUUGGGAGGCGUUACCAACAGAAUAAGCACCGGCUAACUUCGUGCCAGCCGCCGCGGUAAUUC
This 407-nucleotide ribosomal RNA is filed under the name uncultured bacterium. Its description in RNAcentral is "partial 16S ribosomal RNA". It matches the Rfam family "Bacterial small subunit ribosomal RNA", at positions 30 to 526 of the family's 1533-position model. The record is from RNAcentral.